CUGGGACGGGACUGAGACGGUAGGCAGGAGGAAGGGUUACGGCUCCAAGAGGCCCCAGUGUACGGUGGAGCAGAUCAACAAGCUGCACAGUCAGUCCCGCUCCCAGAGCCACAGUCAGCACUUCCUGCCCACUCAGCCUUACUUUGUGACCAACAGUAAGACGGAGGUAACUGUGUGAGAGAGUGGGAGAAGGGGACGAAGGUUGCCCAAAGCAGAGUCACCCAAUAGACAAAGAGGGAGAGGACAGAGAUGGUGGUGUGUAAGGCCCAGGUCGUUUUGUGUCUUUCUGGGAGCGGGGGCCAGAACAGUGCACCCUGGUGGUGUGGCAGUGUGCUUGCGUGUGCCGUCCAGUAUGAGUGUGUAACUGCACAUGUGACUGUCAGUCAAUCCUACACAGAUCCUCAGUCAGAGGGCAACGGGGGCGGGAUUGUAUAACCAUGGCAACGUCCAACAAAAGUAUCAAAUUCAUUGUGUGUGUUAUAAUAUCUCCUGUGUAAUGACAACAUUAUCAACCAAUGACAGUGAAACGUGAAUCCAGCAACAGCAAAAGGAAACAUGAGAUUGCCAUGGAUUGCAUUACCAAAUCUGACAAGCAAUAUGAGAUCUAUGGACACCACAACGGCUGGGGCUAAAACAUUGAGCAGGGAAACAACAAACUGUGGGGAAAGGAAAAGACAUUCAUUAAAGAGGCUCUCUCCUACAAAGCCAUUGAAUCAGCCACAGUUUUAGGGUUAUGGGAUAUGGCUACGAACAUUAUGGUCUUUGUUCUGUGCUUGUAGCCUUGAGAAGUCUCUUGGUCAUCAACACAGAGAAUGGAGGCUGUUGUCCUGUAUAUUUGAUGUAGAGUACUUGAUCACAGCUGACCCGAAGGCAAGGAGGCUGAAGCAUCAUCUAGAGGAUAGUACUGUACUCCUGAAAGACUCAUCAGUCCCAAUGCUGUUCACACAUAGAAUCAGAGAGAAUCUGUGAUCCAAUAUUUAAAGAUGUGACUACAGACCAUGGCCAUCUGUAGUGAUACCAGCAAGCUUUUAUAUUCCCCUGUUUCUCUCUCUUUCAUUCUCUCUAUCCCUCUGAGAAAAGGCAACCUUCAGGUAAAGACAAGGUAAAGAGAGAGAAAGUGGUUCUGAAUCGGUUCUGUUCUACAGUGUAUGGCGAGUCCCUUGAUAAGAACUAUGAAACCCGAUUGAGAGAUAUCCCUCACCUGUAUUAUUGCGACACAGUAUUGUGAUUUAUAUAAUGUACCAACAUUUGUAUUUCUGUUUGUAUUUUUGUAUGACUGUGUCCUCUUGACCUUUGGCCAUCUCUUCACUCUGGCGUUUGUGGAAAAUACUGUUGCUAGGGUAUCCAAAUAUAUAAUGGUCUAAAAGUAGAAGACAAAACCUCUUCAAGCAAAUCGAACAGUCAAAUCUAUACAAGCUGAAUUUAUAGUCCCAUUUCAGCCUAUAGAAAGCAUACUGCAUUCACUUAUUGUAAACAUCCCCCAUGUGUUUCUGAUUGUAAACAUCCCCCAUGUGUUUCUGAUUGUAAACAUCCCCCAUGUGUUUCUGACUGUAAACAUCCCCCACAUGUUUCUGACUGUAAACAUCCCCCAAGUGUUUCUGACUGUAAACAUCCCCACGUGUUUCUGACUGUAAACAUCCCCCACGUGUUUCUGACUGUAAACAUCCCCCAUGUGUUUCUAAUUGUGUUUCUGACUGUAAACAUCCCCCAUGUGUUUCUGACUGUAAACAUCCCCCAUGUGUUUCUGACUGUAAACAUCCCCCAUGUGUUUCUGACUGUAAACAUCCCCCAUGUGUUUCUAAUUGUAAACAUCCCCCAUGUGUUUCUGACUGUAAACAUCCCCCAUGUGUUUCUGACUGUAAACAUCCCCCAUGUGUUUCUGACUGUAAACAUCCCCCAUGUGUUUCUGACUGUAAACAAACCCCAUGUGUUUCUGACUGUAAACAUCCCCCAUGUGUUUCUGACUGUAAACAUCCCCCAUGUGUUUCUGACUGUAAACAUCCCCCAUGUGUUUCUGACUGUAAACAAACCCCAUGUGUUUCUGACUGUAAACAUCCCCCAUGUGUUUCUGACUGUAAACAUCCCCCAUGUGUUUCUGACUGUAAACAUCCCCCAUGUGUUUCUGAUUGCAAACAAACCCCUCAUUUGUUUCUUUUAUUUCUCUUCUUUGCUCAUGUAAAGGACGUCACACUGCUUGUUUAUCGAGUGCCACUUCCUCCCAGUUUGGCCCAUACCAUUUUGCCUCCCGAGUGGCGCAGAGGUCUAAGGCACUGCAUCUCAGUGCUAAAGGUGUCAUUACAGACCCUGGUUCGAUCCCGGGCUGUAUCACAACUGGCUGUGAUCGGGAGUCCCACAAUUGGCCCAGUGUCGUCUGGGUUAGGGGAGGGUUUGGCCAGGGUAGGCCGUCAUUGUAAAAUAAGAAUUUGUUCUUAACUGACUUGCCUAGUUAAAUUUAAAAAAUAAACAAUUCCUAGUGCAAACUCUGCCUUGCUAGGACACGUGACCACUCUCCUGAAGCGUCUUACCAGUCAGCGCCACUCGAAAAGCUAGCUAUACACUGGUGAAAGUGGGGACACUUCAGGCUGAGGAGUAAGUUUCACACGUCUCCAUGUGCUACAUUCACCCCCAAACUUACUCAACUGCGACCCCAGCGUAACUGUACAUCCGAGUCAUUAGGCACCACUGUAAAGGACGUCACGCUGCUUGCUUAGCCAGUACCACUUCCUCCCAAGUUGGCCCAUACCUGGCGCGAACUCAGGACCUCUGCCUGGCUGACCAUCCUCCUCACACCUGACCAUCCUCUUAGAAGCGAUUUACAAGUCAGCUCCACGUGAAAAGCUAGCUAUUCGCCGGCGCAUGUAGAGACACUUCAGGAUUAGGAGUAAGUCUCACACAUCCCCAUGUGCUACACUGUGUAAGCCAUGAUAAAUAACAUCAAUGUUUUCAGGAUGUGCAUUAUCACAAUACUCAAUUGAAUUAAUCCAGCUAUGCGGAAAUCCAAACCAUCAACAUUAUAGUUCACACUGCUCUCAGUGCAGCGGGAAGGCAGAUGGAAAGCAGGCAGGGAGGGAGGCAAACCAGGCAGGCAAAGGAACUCAAACAGAACAUAUUUUGUCUGAGCAGUGCACCAGGAAGGCAGGUAGGGAGGCAGGCAGAGAGGCAGGUAAGGUUACAGGCAGAGGAAGAGGCAGGCAGGCAAACCAGGGAGGCAAAGCAGCUCAAGCAUAACAUAUUUAUGUCUGAGCAGCAUUCUGCACUCAGCAUAACUUAAUAGAGAAGAGUCAUCCUUCACACUGUGUUCUUCCCAGCAGCAGACUCGGAGUGCAUUCAGAGCACAGUUGGUCAGCGGGACUCACUCUGAAGUAGCAGUCAUACAGCUCUGAGACGCUGAGAGGGCAGGAGAAACUGGAGUAUUACUAGUGUAGUAUAUUACUACUUUGUCAAUGAUUGCCUUCUCAUGACUGUCCUUAUAGUAAUGUUAUGAUAUCAUAGCUUUAUCCUUUCCAUAGUUUUACCUGGCUUGAUUCGGCCCACUCCGACAAAGUGACGGUCCCUAGCAGACCAUUCCACACUGGCACACCAUUUAGAAUGCAUGGCCAUGCCAAUGCAUUCCCUCAUUCUAAGUGUGCCAGUCUGGAUAUUGGAAUGGAGCCUAAUUCCCCCUCAUCACAUCUGAUCCUUUCUUCCCCUCUAAAGCCAGGUGUCUGAAAUUAGCAGAUCGCCGAGCCAGCCAGCUCCAGCCUACCCAGCCUAGUUCCUGAUUGACCUGCUGCCAAAGAAAAUUGUUUCUGCUCGGCUGAAAGGAGCGAAAUUAAGACUGGAUGGUGCGAGUGGCCUAAUUAGUGGAAUCAGACCCUCCCGUUCCCCGCUCUGCUCUUGCCUCACGGUAGCAAAUUGAUCGAAGGAGUCGGGUGGUCGAUACAAUCAGGGCUGCCAGGCAUGCAGCUGAAGUCUUGUAUUAACUGCCUAGCUGAAUAUGAUUUAGUAUUGUGUAGUAUGGUGUUGCUCGUUAAUAACAACAAUCACCCUGGAUUUCUAUAUAGCUUGAACAUAAACUGCCCCUGAUUGAGAGACCAAUUAACAUAAACUACCCAUGAUUGAGGGAGCAAUUGAGGGAAAAGUGUACAGUACCGAUUGUCACUCAAAGAGGACCUGUGUGAACCCGGAAAUAUUUUGUGUGUAUAAUAAAUGUGAUUUUGUUCAUUUUCCUGGAAACCUGAAAACGUGUUGAAACCCUUCUUGUAAAGGUGUCUAAAGGAAGUGACUCAUUAGAAUGUUGGGACGAUGUUUGAAGCCACUGCACCGUUAUUCUCUCUCUCUGUCAAACUUAAUUUAGUGGUUUCAUUUGAUUCUCCUCCUACAACCUUGAAGUGAGGAAGUUGAGAUAAUUACAUAUAAUUACAAACUUGCGCUUAUCAUCUCAGAAAAGAAGUGACUGAAGGGAAUCUGUAGAGAGAGAGAGAAAAUAAAAACCUCUCUAAACCGUCAACAUCAGACUCUCGCGUUCUUUCAGCUGCCUGCUGUAACAGGGAGAAACUCCACCUGGAAACUCAACAUAAAAACUCAUCUUGGAAACUCGGUGUAGGGGUGGUUUGAGGACUUUUUCAACCAAUAAGAUAAACAAACCAGACGCGAUUAAACCUGAUCUUAAAAUACCUGCCAUUAGUACUUACCAUUAUUGACAUUUAUAAUAUAAAAUCAGAAAACAUCUGCAACCUACGCGCAGACACACACACACACACACAUACAUGUACACAUACACACACACUCCCACAGUAAUCAGCAUCAGUAAAGGUAUCAGGAUUGUGAGCACUGAAAAAUAAUGGAAGUUCUCUAAAUUCUUAUAAAAGAUUAAAAUUAGCAAUAUAGUCACCGGCAUCAAUUUUGCAGAUUACCCAACCAAAUGUAUUUUGAAAAAUGUAUUUGUCCGUGAAUGUUAUGUUUGUAUGAUUUGAUUGUACUGAGUAUGUUCCACAGGUUACAUCGAGCUUAAAACAUAACAGAAAUUGGAAGUGUAUUAGAUUAUGAACUCUUUACCACCGUUCUGUACUAACCAGAUAAGCAAACCAGGUGGGGAUGUCAGCAAUUAUUGUUAAACCAUUCUGUAUGACAGAGAAACAUAACUGUAUUUAUCAAGCAGUACAAAAGGAAUACAUACAAUGGGCUGGUAUUAAAGGACUUCUGCAGGUCUGAUUUCUAUGACACUUUUUACACUGUUUAUUUGGUUACCCAGAAGAGGUGAGCUGAAUAUAUUCCAGUUAAUUCCAGUUCCACCCUGUCGUUGAAACUAUGGUAUGUUCAAUCAUGAUUUUGUCUGCUCUGCCAACCUGUUGAUUUUAUGUCAUUCUGCCUUCUAUCAAAAACUGUCUAAACUAAAUAUUGUACUGUAUACACAUGAUGAGGGGGAAGAUAUCAAACAACAUCUGCAGUUUCUCUUACAUCUGAUUAAGGGGUUUGUUCCAAUAGGAGGUAUCUCAUUAAGUUAUUUGCUGAUAUCAGAAUCAAUGGAAGGGUAUCAAACCCAUACAAUCUGUGUGUUUGAUAUUUCUGGGGUUUGAACUCUAUUGCAAUCAAGGGCCAAUGGAUACAGUUACCAUGGAAUGAUUCAUGUGCUUUCUAUAAACUACAGUAUAUAAAUAUAAUCCAUAGAAACCACAUGCUUUAAUAGAUUCUUACAUGUAUUAGAUCAUCUGAAUUGUAAUCAUGCAUUAAUCAAUAAAAGUCUGUUUUUGAUGUUCAACUCAUCUAUGAUAUUUAUAUACACUACUGUUCAAAGGUUUGGGGUCAUUUGGAAAUGUCCUUGUUUUUGAAAGUGAAGAGGUGACUCCGGGAUGCUGGCCUUCUAGGCAGAGUUGCAAAGAAAAAGACAUAUCUCAGACUGGCCAAUAAAAAUAAAAGAUUAAGAUGGGCAAAUGAACACAGACACUGGACAGAGGAACUCUGACUAGAAGGCCGGCAUCCCAGAGUCGCCUAUUCACUGUUGACGUUGAGACUGGUGUUUUGCGGGUACAUUUUAAUAAAACUGCCAGUUUGGGACAUGUAGGGUGUCUGUUUCUCAAACUAGACACUCUAAUGUACUUGUGCUCUUGCUCAGUUGUGCACUAGGACCUCCCACUCCUCUUUCUAUUCUGGUUAGAGCCAGUUUGCGCUGUUCUGUGAAGGGAGUAGUACACAGUGUUGUACGAGAUAUUCAGUUUCUUGGCAAUUUCUCGCAUGGAACAGCCCUCAUUUCUCAGAACAAUAAUAGACUGAUGAGUUUCAGAAGAAAGUUCUUUGUUUCUGGACAUUUUGAGCCUGUAAUUGAACCCACAAAUGCUGACGCUCCAGAUACUCAACUAGUCUAAAGAAGACCAGUUUUAUUUAUUCUUUAUUCAGAACAGCAAUUUUCAGCUGUGCUAACAUAAUUGCAAAAUGGUUUUCUAAUGAUAAACUUGGGUUAGCUAACACAACAUGCCAUUGGAACACAGGAGUGAUGUUUGCUGAUAAUGGGCCUCUGUACGCCCAUGUAGAUAUUCCAUAAAAAAAUCUGCCAUUUCCAGCUACAAUACUAAUUUACAAUAUUAACAAUGUCUACACUGUAUUUCUGAACAAUUUGAUGUUAUUUUAAUGGACAAAAAAUGUGCUUCUCUUUCAAAAACAAACACAUUUCUAAGUGACCCCAAACAUUUGAACGGUAGUGUACAUAUGUGUAUAUUUAUACAUUGGACUGAACACUGCAUAGUAUGAGUGAUUAUUAGUCAAGCAUAUUUUAUUAUAGAGCCUAUCCCAUACUCUUGUUUGAACAGUAGCUAUAAGAAUACAUUGCUGCCCCACUGUUGCCAGUCCUGACCUAUGAUUUGUGAGGUUCAGUUAUGGGGUAGCUGUAUUACUGUUAAAUUAUAAAUAGAUAUAUAAAAAUAAAAAAUAAAAAUAUGGCAAAGUUUUGUCCGAGAAUAUAUUACUAUAGUGUUGCUAUGAAUUUGUCUUUUUUAGGUUAUGGAUUGACUGGAGUUUCUUCUUUUUUUCUUUUUUCAACAAUUCGUUUGAUGUUGAAAAAUGUUCAUUUGUCAUCUACAGAUUACUAUCAGUGUUCUAUAUUCAACUUUCUUAUGUGGCAAUAAAAAGAUGAGUACAUAACUUCUGAAAA
Long non-coding RNA from Oncorhynchus tshawytscha (Chinook salmon), 7126 nucleotides. NCBI's taxonomy places the organism in Eukaryota, Metazoa, Chordata, Actinopteri, Salmoniformes, Salmonidae. The record is from Ensembl.